Molecule: ribosomal RNA, 493 nt
Filed under: uncultured bacterium
Lineage: Bacteria
Description: partial 16S ribosomal RNA
Rfam family: Bacterial small subunit ribosomal RNA
Source: RNAcentral
ACGAACGCUGGCGGCGUGCCUAAUACAUGCAAGUAGAACGCUGAAGGAGGAGCUUGCUUCUCUGGAUGAGUUGCGAACGGGUGAGUAACGCGUAGGUAACCUGCCUGGUAGCGGGGGAUAACUAUUGGAAACGAUAGCUAAUACCGCAUAAGAGUAGAUGUUGCAUGACAUUUGCUUAAAAGGUGCAAUUGCAUCACUACCAGAUGGACCUGCGUUGUAUUAGCUAGUUGGUGGGGUAACGGCUCACCAAGGCGACGAUACAUAGCCGACCUGAGAGGGUGAUCGGCCACACUGGGACUGAGACACGGCCCAGACUCCUACGGGAGGCAGCAGUAGGGAAUCUUCGGCAAUGGACGGAAGUCUGACCAGCAACGCCGCGUGAGUGAAGAAGGUUUUCGGAUCGUAAAGCUCUGUUGUAAGAGAAGAACGAGUGUGAGAGUGGAAAGUUCACACUGUGACGGUAUCUUACCAGAAAGGGACGGCUAACUACGUG